UAAUCAUUUUUGAUUUUGUAUCCCUUUUUUCUCCAUGUGAAAAGACACAAUUGCCCCUGUGGCUAAUUUACAAUUUGACACUGUACAAAUCUUUUUUCUUUACAAGCCUGUAUCCAACCGAAGCAACUAAUUAACAGGGAACAAAUCACAUUACUUUCUUUACAUGGCUUUACCCAACGGAACCAACUACUAACAAAUCAUAGAUUGAUUUUUUGUGUCGUGGUGUUCAUGGCUAGUGGAGAGGCGGAUCCACCGCCGGCCCCCAAGCCAUCAACUCCGACGACCCCUGCACACCGAGGCUUCACACAGAUGACAACUGAGACGAUCCCACAGACUGCCGGACAGGGAGGCGACUGUUGCGUCCAUGGAUCACCACGAUCUGCUCCAGAUUGGUCAGUAUAUUAUCUCCCCUUCCUCCCACCCCACGCCAAACACACACAGUGCCACACGGAUCCAGGGUUUGAACCUCUUGGCAUCUCCUCGCUAGGCAGCCCCUAACGCUGCUACACUUGUAGUAACCCUGCAACUGCAACAAUAUGAUGGAGACAUAAUUAUCAGGAUUCAGGAGUAUAAAGUUCUGAAAUUAUCCAAAUCUUUAAACCAUGUGGAUGAAUACUUCUACGAGGAUCAUGAAUCCAAUGACAUGGGCAUACACUUAGUUUUACUGGAAAAUGAAUAUUAAACAAUUUGUUACUUGUUUCCUAACAUACCAAAAUGACAGUUAGAUGAUGCCCUUAUGUCCCCUCCAUAACUGAAAAUCUUUUGUUCUCCAUGUAGGUCUCGGCCGGUGGCUAGCAAUGAUACAUAUGUAUCAACUAUGGAAGGAAGUGUUGAUUGGUCCAAGAUUGAGAUAGCACCAAUGAAUGAUGAAGAAAUUGAUGUUCCUAUAACAGAAGAGAACAUGUGCUCGGUGCUUGGCAUCAAUGAUGAACCUGAGCAUCGGAAAAUUGUAUCUGAAGCAGCUAUGAAAACCUGCAUUGCAGAUGUUGAUGCAUGUGUGGCUGAUAUUGAUGAGGAUUUACUUGCUGAUGCGGCUCUUCCUGUGCCUGACCAUAUGCCUGAAGAGGAUCACUUUUGGUAUGAUAAGGAACAUCCUGUGAUAGAGGAAGGAUCUUUGUUUCGUUCAAUGAACGAGUUUAGGAUGCUCAUGAGAACAUUUGCUAUUAGAGGCAAGUUUGACAUCAAGACCAAGGAUAGUGACACUACUAGAUUUGUGGGUCACUGUAAAGGAAAUGCAUGUCCUUGGAGAAUAACUGCUAGGACAAUAGAAGAUGGAAAAACAGUCAGGGUACAAACUUAUCUAACAUGAAUCAUCUUUUAUGUUAAAACUAUCUUUUAUAAAUUACUUGCAACAAAUGGUUGGUAUUGUGUUUUCUGCAGGUAAACAAGAUAGUAAAGCCUCAUAAGUGUUCAUCAACCACUGCAGUGAUUACAAGCAUGGCAGACCAAGCAUGGGUGGCAGAAAAGGCAAUGGGGUAUCUUCAAACUGAACCAAACAUUGGUGCCAGCGAGCUCCGAAAAAAGCUAUAGGCCGAAUACAAAUGUACUAUUAGGUAUCAUACUGUUGACAAGGGAAAAGAAAGGUCCAAGAAUAGUUUAUAUGGGACCUGGGGAAAAAGCUUUCAGUCAUUAUUGAAUUUCAAAGCUGAGAUUGAUAAAAGAUCUCCUGGUAGCAUUGUCGAGGUUGAUGUCAAGAGGGAAGGAGGUGAAGUGCAUUUCCGCAGAUUUUUUAUGGCACUUAAGCCGUGCAUUGAUGGCUUCUUGGCUGGUUGUAGACCAUAUGUCAGUAUAGACUCCACAUUUUUGACUGGAAAGUGGAAUGGUCAAUUAGCAGCAUGUACAGCACUAGAUGGACAAAAUUGGAUGUUUCCUUUAGCAUUUGGUUUCUUUGGUACGGAGACCGAGGGUAACUGGAUUUGGUUUAUGCAACAACUGUAUAGGGCAAUAGGACAUCUUCAAACUCUAGCUAUUUGUACUGAUGCAUGCAAAGGGUUGGAGAAUGCAGUUAAAAUUGUGUUUCCUCGAGCUGAGCAAAGGGAAUGCUUUAGGCAUCUAAUGGCAAACUUCAAAAAGAAAUUUCACGGAGAUGUUUUUGGUCGCAUGUGGCCAGCAGCCAAGGCUUAUCGUCUGGAAACAUUUAAUUAUCAUAUGGGCAAGAUAUUUGAAGCUGAACCUGCAGUGAGUACCUACUUAUGUACCUAUCAUAACUUAAAGUGGAUGAGAUGUGACUUCAACACAGAAAUAAAAUGUGAUUACAUUCACAACAAUCUAGCUGAGUGCUUCAAUAGCUGGAUCAAAGGAACAAAGGAGCUGCCCAUGGAUGAGCUAGCCGAUGCAAUAAGAGAGAAAAUUAUGAUACUUGUUUAUAGAAGGAGAAGGAUUGGGAAAAUGCUCCAGGGAGAGAUAUUGCCUGCUAUCAUUCAACAAAUAAAUAAUAGAACUAGGCAACUUGACCAUUUGGUUGUUGGAAGAUCAACCGGAGAAAGUUGUGAGGUCAAGGACACUAGCAAGAAUAAUCUUAGGCAUGUUAUGAAGAUAGGCAGCCGUGAGUGCACCUGCCUAGAAUGGCAACACACUGGAAAGCCAUGUGAGCAUGCACUUGCAUUCCUUAUAGAGACGGCAGAUGUGAACUUUCAACCAUAUGUACAUGAGUACUACUCCGUGAGUAGGUUUCGGGCUGCCUAUGCUGGAGAGAUUGAACCAAUCACGGACAAGUCUCAAUGGCCUCAUGUUAAUCUAGAUUUUGAGAUGGUGCCACCGGAUUUAAAGAGCUCCGUUGGGAGACGGAGGAAGCAGAGAAUCAAAAGUUGCCUUGAAGACGGUGGUGGCAGCAAACGGAAGAAAAAAGAUGAUAAUGGCAAAACAAAUGACCAAGAAGGAGGUGACAAAGAGAAGGAAAAGGAAAAGAAGAGAUUUGGCAGCAGAAAUAGGUGCAAAGAAUGUGGGAUAUUGGGGCACAGGAAAGCAACUUGCAAAAAAAAUGAAGCUAAAGAGAGGUAACCCAUGCACUAGUAUCUCCUUUAUAUUAGUAUCAAAUUAGUACUAUUAUACCAUUUCUAACAUCCGGUG
This 3069-nucleotide long non-coding RNA is filed under the name Triticum aestivum (bread wheat). RNAcentral describes it as "long non-coding RNA (TAES_LNC019562)". Lineage: Eukaryota; Viridiplantae; Streptophyta; Magnoliopsida; Poales; Poaceae. The record is from RNAcentral.